AUGCACUUAGCUCAGUGGUCAGAGCACCCUUCUAGACUUCUGGGAAAACUGGACAUGGGUUUGAGUCCCGUAGUGCACA
RNAcentral lists this transfer RNA (79 nucleotides) under Cronartium ribicola 11-2. RNAcentral's name for it is "tRNA-Und (NNN) (tRNA-Und-NNN-67-1)". It matches the Rfam family "tRNA". Rfam says of the family: Transfer RNA (tRNA) molecules are approximately 80 nucleotides in length. Their secondary structure includes four short double-helical elements and three loops (D, anti-codon, and T loops). Further hydrogen bonds mediate the characteristic L-shaped molecular structure. tRNAs have two regions of fundamental functional importance: the anti-codon, which is responsible for specific mRNA codon recognition, and the 3' end, to which the tRNAs corresponding amino acid is attached (by aminoacyl-tRNA synthetases). tRNAs cope with the degeneracy of the genetic code in two manners: having more than one tRNA (with a specific anti-codon) for a particular amino acid; and 'wobble' base-pairing, i.e. permitting non-standard base-pairing at the 3rd anti-codon position. Lineage: Eukaryota; Fungi; Basidiomycota; Pucciniomycetes; Pucciniales; Coleosporiaceae. The record is from RNAcentral.